RNAcentral lists this transfer RNA (78 nucleotides) under Alphaproteobacteria bacterium. RNAcentral describes it as "tRNA-Met". It matches the Rfam family "tRNA". From Rfam's summary of the family: Transfer RNA (tRNA) molecules are approximately 80 nucleotides in length. Lineage: Bacteria; Pseudomonadati; Pseudomonadota; Alphaproteobacteria. The record is from RNAcentral.
AACUGGAGUAGCUCAGUUGGUUAGAGCAGCGGAAUCAUAAUCCGCGUGUCGGGGGUUCAAGUCCCUCCUCCGCUACCA